This 437-nucleotide ribosomal RNA is filed under the name uncultured bacterium. Its description in RNAcentral is "bacterial SSU rRNA". It matches the Rfam family "Bacterial small subunit ribosomal RNA", at positions 29 to 507 of the family's 1533-position model. The record is from RNAcentral.
AAUGAACGCUGGCGGCAGGCCUAACACAUGCAAGUCGAACGGAGUCCUUCGGGAUUAGUGGCGGACGGGUGAGUAACGCGUGGGAACAUACCCUUUGGUACGGAAUAGCCUCGGGAAACUGGGAGUAAUACCGUAUGUGGUCGAGAGACGAAAGAUUUAUCGCCAAAGGAUUGGCCCGCGUUGGAUUAGAUAGAUGGCGGGGUAACGGCCCACCAUGUCAGCGAUGGGUAGCCGAGCUGAGAGGCUGAUCGGCCACACUGGAACUGAGACACGGUCCAGACUCCUACGGGAGGCAGCAGUGGGGAAUAUUGGGCAAUGGGCGCAAGCCUGACCCAGCAACGCCGCGUGAGGGAAGAAGGCUUUCGGGUUGUAAACCUCUGUCCUUGGUGACGAAAAAAAUGACGGUAGCCAAGGAGGAAGCCCCGGCUAACUACGUG